UUUCCUCGUGCCCCUGGUUUUACGAAGAUAAACUAAGAUAAGCUAACAGUUCUCCGUGUGACUGUCAACUACGUCCCUGCAAUAAAGUGAUUUCCCAAAAUAUCGAACUACUCCUUCAGUAAAUACACAGAGGACACUGUUGCUCCAAAAAAAACCAAAACAAAACCCUAACACCAGACUCUGCAGCCAUGUUGGGAUCAACAGGUCUCAGCCUCCUGCUCAGCCGUCCUGUUGGCUUUUGAGGAGAGGAGUCCGGUGUUAACGUCACAUCACCAGACACUCCA
This is a long non-coding RNA of Toxotes jaculatrix (banded archerfish), 284 nucleotides long. RefSeq lists it as uncharacterized. Lineage: Eukaryota; Metazoa; Chordata; Actinopteri; Toxotidae. The record is from RefSeq and is a predicted model, not a curated record. The transcript has 3 exons.